UAAAACCAGCACCUCAAGUGGUCAGGAUGAUUAUUGGGCCUAAAGCAUCCGUAGCCGGCUCUGUAAGUUUUCGGUUAAAUCUGUACGCUCAACGUACAGGCUGCCGGGAAUACUGCAGAGCUAGGGAGUGGGAGAGGUAGACGGUACUCGGGAGGAAGGGGUAAAAUCCUUUGAUCUUUCGAUGACCACCUGUGGCGAAGGCGGUCUACCAGAACACGUCCGACGGUGGGGGAUGAAAGCUGGGGGAGCAAACCGGAUUAGAUACCCGGGUAGUCCCAGCUGUAAACUAUGCAAACUCAGUGAUGCAUUGACUUGUGGUCAAUGCAGUGCUGCAGGGAAGCCGUUAAGUUUGCCGCCUGGGAAGUACGUACGCAAGUAUG
Molecule: ribosomal RNA, 380 nt
Filed under: uncultured crenarchaeote
Lineage: Archaea; Thermoproteati; Thermoproteota
Description: bacterial SSU rRNA
Rfam family: Archaeal small subunit ribosomal RNA
Source: RNAcentral